This 468-nucleotide ribosomal RNA is filed under the name uncultured bacterium. Its description in RNAcentral is "bacterial SSU rRNA". It matches the Rfam family "Bacterial small subunit ribosomal RNA", at positions 26 to 507 of the family's 1533-position model. The record is from RNAcentral.
AGGACGAACGCUGGCGGCGUGCUUAACACAUGCAAGUCGAACGGUGAAGGAAGCUUGCUUCCCGGAUCAGUGGCGAACGGGUGAGUAACACGUGGGCAAUCUGCCCCAGACUUUGGGAUAACUACUCGAAAGAGUAGCUAAUACCGAAUAUUCAGCCUUGCAGGCAUCUGCGAGGCUGGAAAGUUUCUCGGUCUGGGAUGAGCCCGCGGCCUAUCAGCUAGUUGGUGAGGUAAUGGCUCACCCAAGGCGACGACGGGUAGCCGGCCUGAGAGGGCGACCGGCCACACUGGGACUGAGACACGGCCCAGACUCCUACGGGAGGCAGCAGUGGGGAAUAUUGCGCAAUGGGCGAAAGCCUGACACAGCAACGCCGCGUGCGGGAUGAAGGCCUUCGGGUUGUAAACCGCUUUCAGCAGGGAAGAAGCGAAAGUGACGGUACCUGCAGAAGAAGCACCGGCUAACUACGUG